GCGGAGCAGAGAGAGUGUACGUCAUUACGCCACUCGUGUCACUAGUGAAGUGGGUGCUUGAACGCACCAGGUUAAAUCCUUAGCCAACGCGGGCGUCAAGCAAAGUAGAUUGAAGAGAAUCCGGCGCAAUUCAUUUUUGGUAGCGCUACGCGGCCAGAAGCCAGCAGACACUGCUGCACCCCUUUCUCCCUCAAAUUUUUUUUAAAAAAUUGAAAUAAAUUUUUUAUAUAUUUUUUAUUUUUUUGCUUUUUCCUACACUGUUGCUCCAAACUCAACAGUCAAUGUUUGUUGGAGAGGAAACGUGCAAGUAUAGACGGACCAUUUCAGAGCAACAAUGAGCACAUCAAAACCCAGUGGACUCAAAGCACCCAGCAAAAUUGGCAGACAAGCCAAUGCUGGGGUCACAAAGACGUCUCCUUCUGUAGGUGACAAAUCCUCAGCUGAAGCCCAAGAUGCAGGAGAGCAGUUCAAGAUCGAGGAUCGUGUCUGGGUUAACGGCAACAAGCCAGGUGUCAUUCAGUUUUUAGGAGAGACCCAGUUUGCCCCGGGCCAGUGGGCUGGAAUUGUACUUGAUGAGCCAAUUGGGAAAAACGAUGGUUCUGUGUCAGGUGUGCGCUAUUUUCAGUGUGAACCGUUGAAGGGUAUUUUCACACGGCCGUCCAAGCUUUCACGCACAGAAGGUGAGGAGGACAGCACAACGACGGCUCCUCCGUCCCGUGCUGCAUCACCCACACCCUCUACUACAUCAGUGUCUGCUUCAACCAAGAAACCAGCUUCACCCACUAAAGCUGCUACACCAGCCUCAGACCUGGUGCGGUCAAAGAGCGAGUCAGUGUCCAAUCUGUCAGAGACUGGAUCGGUCAAGAAAGGUGAUCGGGAGCUAAAGAUCAACGAUCGAGUGCUGGUUGCUGGCACAAAAGCUGGUGUAGUGCGUUUCUUAGGCGAAACCGAUUUUGCCAAGGGUGAGUGGUGUGGAGUUGAGCUGGAUGAGCCCUUGGGAAAGAACGAUGGUGCUGUGGCUGGAACCAGGUAUUUCCAGUGUCAGCCCAAAUACGGUCUGUUUGCACCAGUGCACAAGGUGACCCGUAUAGGUUUUCCCUCCACUACCCCAGCCAAGGCAAAGACCACUGUGCGGAAGACAGCGGCCACACCAUCAGGACUAAAACGCAGCCCCAGUGCCUCCUCCAUCAGCUCCAUGAGUUCUGUGGCCUCAUCUGCUAGUUGCAAGCCAAGCCGAACAGGACUAUUGACAGAGACGUCUACAAGGUAUGCGAGGAAGAUCUCUGGCACUACGGCACUUCAGGAAGCCCUGAAGGAGAAACAGCAACACAUUGAGCAACUCCUUGCCGAGCGUGACCUGGAGAGAGCUGAGGUUGCCAAGGCAACCAGCCAUGUGGGCGAAGUGGAGCAAGAGCUUACGUUACUGAGAGAAGGCCAGGAGCAGUAUGUAUUGGAUGUUGAUGCCAAAAUGGACCAGCUGCGAGCGCUUGUGGAGGCUGCGGACAGAGAGAAGGUGGAACUGCUCAACCAACUGGAGGAGGAGAAAAGGAAGGUGGAGGACCUGCAGUUUCGGGUGGAGGAAGCUUGCAUUACCAAAGGAGAUUUGGAGACGCAGACGCAGCUGGAGCAUGCCCUUCUUAAGGAGCUUGAACAGAGUCUUCUCUUUGAAAAGACCAAAGCUGACAAACUUCAGAGGGAGUUAGAAGACUCUAGGGUGGCCACAGUCUCUGAGAAGUCCCAUAUAUUGGAGUUGGAGCGGGAUCUUGCGUUGAGGGACAAGGAGGUAGCUGCACUUCGUAAGUCACUGGAAGCUUUACCAGGGCAGGAUGGGGUUACUGACUCCACCACGGCAGUACUCCAGGAGGAACUCUGUUCCCUCCGUACACAGCUGGCCGCUCAAAGUGACAGUCACCAAGCAGAGCUGUCUUCCUUGCGUGAGAUGCUUGCGGCUCGAGAAAAAGAACAAAGUGAAUCUCUGUCACAACUCCAGUCAUCCUCAGGUCGCUUAUCGAAGGAUAACGAGCAGCUUUUAUGUCAGCUGGUGAAAUCCAAGGAGGAGAAUUCAAAUAUCAUUGAGGAGUGGCAUGCUAAACUAGCAUCAGUUGAGGCCUCACAUCAGCAAGCCUUGGAGGAGCUCAAAACCUCCCAUGAGGCAAGCAAAUCUGAGCUGCUGGAGGUACACAGUGCUCUGGAACAGUUGAAAUUAACACAUAAACUGGAGCUCGAAGAGCUUGCUAACAAACAUGCUUCUGAAACCAUGGAGUGGACGGGUGAAGCCAAAGAACACAAGGCACAGCUCCUGAAAGUCACCGAAGAGAACGAACGGCUGGUAGAAACGCUACGCACCAAUUUGGAGAAGGCAGAGGAGCAGCACCUGGUGGAAAUGGAGGAUGUCUUGGGAAAACUUCACAGUGCUGAGCUCAGGGUAAAAGAGCUAGAGGACGCGGGAGUUAAGUUAGGGCAGCAGUUGGAUGAAAAGUCACAAGAAGCUCUGGAGCAAAAAACAGCCGUUCAGACUCUGCAGUCACAGCAAAGUCAAGGGAACCAAGAGAUGCAAAGGUUAUUGACCCAAAUAGAGGAGGCAAAAAGCCAAUCCAGAUCUCAGGAAGAAAAGGUCACUGAGUUGAACUCCGUACUAGAGGGUAAACAGCAAGAGCUGAAUGGCCUGUUGCAGGAAAAGAGCUCUCUGGAGCAAGAAGUUAGUGAGCUGAAACAGACUCUUGAAAAAACAUCUAAUGAUCAAGCCAAAUCUGCUCAGACUAAUCAAGAAUUACGUGAAGAGCUCAGGAAUAAAGAUGAACAAUGCACAUCUCUCUCUGCUGAAUUACAGGAUAUGAAGAGUCAGUUUGCUGGUUUACAGAGAAAUUUGAAAGCAAACAAAGAAAGGAUACUGCUGCUGACCAAAGAAAAGACUAAACUUGAGAAUGACAUUAUGGACAUGACAAAGUCAUCAGGAGACAGUUCUACUGUAAUAACAAAGCUGACUGAGGAUAUCAAGCAGAAAGAAAGGAGACUAGACGAGCUUCAGAACCAGCUUGAAGAGGAGAGGGAGAAGGCAGCUCAGGUUGAGGAGAAACGGUCUCAAGCACAAGUCCAGGCUGAGAAUGAAGCCAAAAGCCUUGAGAAGAGACACCAAGCAGAGCUUUCCAUCCUGCAGGAGAGGAUCAAGCUUUUGGAGAAGGGUGCUGAAGACAAUCAGUCUAAAUCCAAAGACAUGCUUGCUUUGGGAGAGAAAGCACUUGCAGAUGCUGUGGAACAGCAUACAAAAGAAAUGCAGGAACUAAACAGCAAGUUUGAAAAAGUGCAACAGGAGCUUCAAGUGUCUCAGGAUGAAAGCCUGGAGCUGAGGAAACAGAUUGAGGAGUUGAAGACCAUUAAAGAAAAAGCUACGGUCUCAGAGAAAGCAGAACAGACUGCACAGGCUUCACUGGACAGCCUGACCCAGGAGAACCAACAACUUCGGAAAGACAAGUCUGAGGCUGAGGCCCUGGUAACGCAGCUCAAGAACUCAAUGCAAGAAAUGCAGUGCAAGCUGGAUGCUUUUAAGCAGCAGAACUCGCAGUAUCAAGAGGAUCUGAGUUCUGACAGUCAGAAGAUCAGCAGCCUCAGUAAAGAGAUUGAGGAGUUGAAACAAGCAGACACUGAAAAAGCCCAGGCAGUUGAGGCUCUGAAAAAUGUGAAGGAAAAGCUAACACUGGAACUUGCCAGCAGCCACAAAGACAGUAACAUUCUUCUAAAUCUCAAAAAGGAGUGUGACAGUCUCAACGACCAAUUGAAGGAGAUGAAAAUGAGGGAAAGCACUUUCAAAAGUGAAUCAGAAAAGGAGAAAUCAGCACUUCAGCAGUCUCUUCAAACACAGAGUGCCUUGAUCUCAGAAAAGGACAAGGAAUUAGACUCUCUAAGAAAUGAGCUGGAUGCUUUGAAGCAGCAGAACUUGCAGUAUCAAGAGAAUCUGAGUUCUGACAGUCAGAAUAUCAGCAGCCUCAGUAAAGAGAUUGAGGAGCUGAAACAAGCUACUGCUGAAAAAGCCCAGGCAGUGGAGGCUCUGAAAAAUGAGAAGGAAAAGUUAACCGUGGAACUUGCCAGCAGCCACAAAGACAGUAACAUUCUGCUAAAUCUCAAAAAGGAGUGCGACAACCUUAAUGGACAAUUGAAGGAGAUGAAAAUGAGGGAAAGCACUUUAACAAGUGAAUCAGAAAAGGAGAAAGCAGCACUUCAGCAGUCUCUCCAAACACAGAGUGCCUUGAUCUCAGAAAAGGACAAAGAAUUAGACUCUCUGAGAAAUGAGUUCAAAAAGAAGUGUGACAGCCUCAAUAGUCAAUUGAAGAAGAUAAAAAUGAGGGAAAGCACUUUAACAAAAGAAACAGAAAAAGAGAAGGAAGCACUACAGCAAUCUCUCCAAACACAGAGUGCCUUGAUCUCAGAGAAGGACAAAGAAUUAGACUCUCUGAGAAACGAGAUAGCAGGUCUGCGUGAUACGACACAGGUGCUGCAGUCCAAUCUGAAAUCUCACAAGAGUGAGAAUACUUUGCUGCAGGAGCGAGUGAAGAAUCUGGAGACGAGUUUAGCUGACGCUCAGAUCACCAGCAAAGGAGAUGAUGCCUCAGAUGAUUCUGCUUUAAGAAUGUGGAAGGAGGCCAAGGAGAAUGCUGAGCGGCAGGUUGAAUUCCUGAACUCCGUUAUUGUGGAACUUCAGCGGAAGAACGAAGACCUAAAAUCGAAACUAGAGAAGAUGGCUGAAGCAGCGCUCAAUGGAAAUGGUGCAACUGAAAUGGACAGUCAUAACAGUCACACCGAGCCGACGAUUAAAAAGAAACCCCCUCCCCGUCUCUUCUGUGACAUAUGUGACUGCUUUGACCUACACGACACAGAGGACUGUCCCACACAGGACCAGAUGCUAGAUUCCCCGCCACACACCACCUAUCAUGGCAGUCCCAAUGAUGAAAGACCUUACUGUGACAUCUGUGAGGCCUUCGGCCACUGGACUGAGUCCUGCAAUGACGAUCAAACUUUCUAGGGUCCUGCUUCCAUGAUCCCGCAACAUUUGUACUUGCAAUACUAUGCCUUGAAUCAAACAGUGCACAAAAGACUAUUGUAAGUUUGUAUGGUUUUUCCACUCGUGUGUUUACCACCAUGUACGCCUAAAACUUUGUCACAUAAAAGCAAGCAUCUGUAGUUUACUCGGUGGCAAUUUUACCUUCCUCUAUUGCACUGAAUGACUGUUAGGAGGAAAGAGUGUUUUAAGUUCACUUUGAAAGAACCUUGUAGUGAAUGCUCAUUCUUUAUAUGGUGGUAGAGGUGAUUAACCAUGAAAUCUGGAAUUGACAGUUCUCUUAUAUGCUUAAAAGGUUGUAUAUCUUUAAACAUCAGUGCUGACCUCUAGUGGAAGGGAGGCUUGACUUCUCAACAGCCUUUCACAUAUCAACGAGUUUGGAUUCUGUAAGAGAAGUAUUAAUAUAAAAAGUAAGUUAUUCUAGAAUUGUUAAAAUUUCUAAAUGUAUAUGCAAAAAAAUACAUAAGUAUGUUUCAAUCAUUUAUUAUCUUUAAGAAUGACUGUUAGAAAAAUUGUAACUUUUGCCCGAAAAGAAAUGGAGAAAAAAAGAACCACCAUCUUACUGUUUUUGUUCCUUCAAAAUCAACAUGUGUUUCCCAGGUUGUUUGCGAGACAUUUAUUUGUACAAAUACCAAAAGGGGGGACAUUUUUUUUGAAAAUAAACUUCAAGAAAUAUCUUUUAAGUGCAAAAAAUAUUCUUUGUUGUGUUGUAUGUUAAUGCCAAUGUGCUGCUCUAAAAAAAAAAAAGUGUGUAUGGCCCUAAAGAGCAUCCUGAGCUGUCUGCAGAAAAUGUAGGGCUAUUUGGCUCUUGUCCGAGCCACACAUUGUUUUUGACAAUGAAACUGCCUGACAAAUGAAGCAGUGAGUUACAAUAAACAUUGUUUUCAAAUAAG
RNA transcript from Sinocyclocheilus grahami, 5946 nucleotides. It is a transcript of the gene named CAP-Gly domain-containing linker protein 1-like, with no coding region annotated. Lineage: Eukaryota; Metazoa; Chordata; Actinopteri; Cypriniformes; Cyprinidae. The transcript has 32 exons. The record is from RefSeq and is a predicted model, not a curated record.